AUUCUAAAAUGCAUUUUGGCAGGAGCAGGACAGAUGUGGCAUCACCAUGGCGUCAUAAAUAAAAUAGUGGAGACGAGAAAUAAACCGCAGGGAGAUAAAUACAGCAGACACAAAAUUUCUAAAAUUAGAAUAUGACUCAACUUCACUAUAUGUAGUUAUUUGUCCUUAUAUGACUCAAAAAUAUGUUUAGUAGUCGUAUAUAAUAAACAGCAGUAUAUAAUAAGAGCAGUGUCUCCGUGAUUGCGUUGUGGAUCAGUCAGGAUGUUGCUGAAGCUGUUUAUCUUCGCGCUGAUGGUGGUGGGAGCCAUGUCCCUGGUGGUGACCUCCCCUCGCUUCCUCGGCCCCUGUCCUAGCGGCACUCACUACAGUGCUCAACAGAGAAGAUGUGUUUCUUCCGCAUACGAUGAAGGGAAGCCCAGUUUGUUGGAUUUAUUGUAUGAUUGAAGCAUUAAUAACUACUUCUUUGCAAAUGGCGUCAUAGGAAUGACUCAGUACCUACCCAAUAUUCUAGAAGGACAUAUAUUACCGCACUAUAUUUUCAUGACGGCAUAAACAUAUUAUAUGUUACCCUCUAUAUAGAAAUAUAGUCAAUAAUAUUGUUAGUAAUAAUGUAGGAAAAUAUAUUAAAUAAAUUA
Long non-coding RNA from Spodoptera frugiperda (fall armyworm), 635 nucleotides. RefSeq lists it as uncharacterized. The record is from RefSeq and is a predicted model, not a curated record. The transcript has 2 exons. Lineage: Eukaryota; Metazoa; Arthropoda; Insecta; Lepidoptera; Noctuidae.